CUGGAAUAAGGCGGUAGAAACUGUGCGGACAGACCGUCGUUAGCUUACAGUUGAUAAACGAAUUUAGCUACAAUGCGUUUGCCAUCUAGGUGUUGCUGACCUCCUAUGGAAGUGGACCUCCUCCCUCCAGAAGCGCCAUGCGAGGGUAUCACUCCAAACUGGACUCAUCCUCCUCUGCUGGGGGUACGGGCGGCUCCAUGCCCCUGAGCCUGGCCGUGGAGACGGAGAAAGCCCAGGCAUUGCUCCAGACCUUCUCCUCUGCCUCCCUACUGGCCAGCACUGCGCUGGGGGCCUUCUGUGUGCUAGCUGACCACGUCAUGCAGCUGACCCUACUCCAACAGCACCUGUGGCUGCGGGCAGUGCUGGACAACACCGUCCAUUGUCUGAUAGGCCUCUGGUCCUGGGCUAUCGUCAUUGGCCUCAAGAAGAAGAGUGACUUCUAUGAAGUUAUCUUAGCAGGGAUACUGGCCUCUGUUAUAGACCUGGAUCACUUCUAUAUGGCUGGCUCUCUGUCGCUCAAAGCAGCCACCAGCCUGCCCCACCGCCCCCCCCUCCACUGCUCCUCUCUCAUCCCUGUCCUCUGCUUCUCUCUGAGGCUGGUGCUGUGGCUGGGCAGGCUAAAGGACUCGUGGUGCUCUCUACCUUGGCUGCUGUUUAUCUCCCUGGCCUCACAUCACAUCCGAGACGGGGUCCGCCAUGGCCUGUGGGUGUGUCCGUUCGGCAACACGGCCCCCAUCUCCUAUUGGCUGUAUGUGAGCAUCACAGCCACCCUGCCACACCUGUGCUCUGUGCUCAUGUACCUGACAGGAACUCGAGACGUGAUCUCCACCAAGCACGGCAUCGCCAUUGACAUCUGAUGGAAGGGCCAACACGACGCCUCCCUAAUAGCACCCUAUUCCCUAUGUAGUGCACUACUAUUGACCAUAACCCUAUUCCUUAUGUAGUGCACUACUAUUGACCAGAACCCUAUUCCUUAUGUAGUGCCCCAUAUAGUGAAUAGGGCUCUGGUCAAUAGUAGUACACUACAUAGGGAAUAGUGCUCUGGUCAAUAGUAGUACACUAUAUAGGGAAUAGGGUUCUAUAGGGCUCUGGUCUAAAGUAGUGCAUUAUAUAGGGAAUAGGGCUCUGGUCUAAAGUAGUGCACUAUAUAGGGAAUAGGGCUCUGGUCUGUAGUAGUGCACUAUAUAGGGAAUAGGGCUCUGGUCAAUAGUAGUGCACUAUGAAGGGAAUAAGGUGCCAUUUGGUACACCGGUAAACCCCACAAUGCCUCAGCCUCGUCUAUUUUCUUCACACCACGGGAGUGAUCACUUCUUCUUCCUCCACUAAACUGCCUCCUCCCUCCCUCCUCUAGUCUGUCUCAGGCUGGGAGGCUGUGUCCUGUGUGACUGUCAGUGCAGUAGUGUGUGGAAGUGCUUGAUGUCGAGCUGUGAGGUAUUUUAUAGCCUUGUAAUUCCCCCACUGAUUACUGCUGUGCUGUCAGUGUAGCUAAGCAGAAUGUAAGGAGGAAUGGGAUGGUUGUACUGACUGGGUCAAAGGGAAAGGCGACAUUCUAAUUCUCUACUCUUCUCCUGAAGUGUCCACUUGGAUGGAAUGGACUGGAAGGUCCUAGGGAACAGAGCAGUACAUUAUGAAGCUGAAGGUCCUAGGGAACAGAGCAGUACAUUAUGAAGCUGAAGGUCCUAGGGAACAGAGCAGUACAUUAUGAAGCUGAAGGUCCUAGGAGCAGAGCAGUACAUUAUGAAGCUGAAGGUCCUAGGGAACAGAGCAGUACAUUAUGAAGCUGAAGGUCCUAGGAGCAGAGCAGUACAUUAUGAAGCUGAAGGUCCUAGGGAACAGAGCAGUACAUUAUGAAGCUGAAGGUCCUAGGGAACAGAGCAGUACAUUAUGAAGCUGAAGGUCCUAGGGAACAGAGCAGUACAUUAUGAAGCUGAAGGUCCUAGGGAACAGAGCAGUACAUU
Molecule: RNA transcript, 1958 nt
Organism: Oncorhynchus masou masou (cherry salmon)
Lineage: Eukaryota; Metazoa; Chordata; Actinopteri; Salmoniformes; Salmonidae
Gene: tmem267
Gene name: transmembrane protein 267
Exons: 4
Source: RefSeq, a predicted model, not a curated record